Cercocebus atys (sooty mangabey) is the source of this 107-nucleotide small nuclear RNA. NCBI's taxonomy places the organism in Eukaryota, Metazoa, Chordata, Mammalia, Primates, Cercopithecidae. The record is from Ensembl.
GUGUUCACUUCAAUAUCACAUAUACUAAAAUUGGAACGAUACAGAGAAGAUUAGCAUGGCUCCUAUGCAAGGAUGACACUUAAAUUCAUGAAGCAUUCCAUACUUUU